Oryctolagus cuniculus (rabbit) is the source of this 1463-nucleotide non-coding RNA. Lineage: Eukaryota; Metazoa; Chordata; Mammalia; Lagomorpha; Leporidae. The record is from RefSeq and is a predicted model, not a curated record.
CCGGGUCGCGGGCGGGAAUCCCGGAACCGUGGCCGCAUAGCCACUUCUCCUGCACCGGGGGACCUUGGGGCGGGCUCCACCGCGCCUCCCUGAGGGACUGGAAGGAGGAGGGCUGGCGGGAGAAACGACCCGUUGACUGACAGCAGGUAUCGCCCAGGAGCCUGCAACCUGAGCCGCCGGCUGUCCCGCGCAGGUGCCGAGCGGCACCGUCCCGGGAACUUGGAAGAGAGAAGUGACGCAAGCGCGCCAGGUUUGCCGGCCUCUCCGCGCAGGCGCAGCAGAACUGGCGAAAAGCGCGCGGCGGCGGUCCGGUGGCCGCAGGAGCCUGGCGUUAAGGAUUCUUUUCCCUCCUAACAGGUUCCUGCGUUAGCAGCCGUGAGGUGGUCUCCAAGUUGGAGCCAGGAAUAAAGCUGUGGUGGUGGAAGAAGCCCUCAGCCUCAGCCUCUCAGGUCCGUCAGCGCCUUCUAAGUCGGAGGCUGGGACUAGGAGGAGUCAGCGGGUGUGCUGCGCGCUUCUCCCGGUUCCUCCUGCGCUCCCGGUCUUGAGGAGAGUUGGUUCAGGCAUCUGCAGUCUCCAUGAUGCCCACAACAGCCAGAGCCAGACCAGGGUGAGGCCUAGAUCCUGAAACUCCAUUCCUGUCUCUCUCAUGCACGGAAGAGACUCAGAAUAAGCCUAAUGACUGAAAGGAUAUACUGGAUUUGGAGACUCGACCAAGACAGCACUGUGAUCGUCUCGGAGUGUGAGGCAGCUACAUGUAGCCUGUGAGCAGUGCAUGAUGAGAAAGAUGUGGAGGCACCCUGUGGUGUUACUUCUGUGUGUCUUCUUCAGACUCUACCACUGAAAUGAGAGGGCAACGCCAAGACACCAGUUUUUACAAAGAGGAGUUCACCUGGGUGGCCAGCAUAGGAGGCAGAGUGGACAGUGAGAGAGAGAGAGACAGAGAGAAAGGUCUUCCUUUGCCAUUGGUUCACCCUCCAAUGGCCACUGCGGCUGGCGUGUUGCAGCCGGCGCACCACACUGAUCUGAAGCCAAGAGCCAGGUGCUUCUCCUGGUCUCCCAUGGGGUGCAGGGCCCAAGGACUUGGGCCAUCCUCCACUGCACUCCCGGGCCACAGCAGAGAGCUGGCCUGGAAGAGGAGCAACCGGGACUAGAACCCUGUGUGCCAGUGCCGCAGGCGGAGGAUUAGCCUAUUGAGCCACAGCGCCAGCCUCUUUCUUUUUUUUUUUUACAUAUGGGUCUUUGUAUAACCUUUUUUGUCUGAAGAGAUGUUCCUCAGGAUUUAACUUAAUUAGCAGUUUUGUGACAUCUGUUGAUCCUUGGGAAAUGUCACUGUACAGGUGUUUCCCAAAAUUAACCCUACGUAGGUAACUUUGAGUAACUUAUCCUAUGUGAAGCAAGUAGAAAAACAAGUUGUUUUUACCUUUUGAAGCUCUCAGAAUUUUCCUCUCUCUCUUUGCUUCCCU